Podarcis lilfordi (Lilford's wall lizard) is the source of this 164-nucleotide non-coding RNA. Lineage: Eukaryota; Metazoa; Chordata; Lepidosauria; Squamata; Lacertidae. The record is from the annotation of a GenBank genome assembly.
UAGUUUGUCAAGGGUGCUGAGAGUUGUUAGGAGAGCCCUAUUCUCACAGAACUACAGUUUCCAGAGUGGUUUAACAAUCCCUCUUCCCAAGGAAUUCUGGAAACUGUACCUCUAUGAGGGGAAUAGGGGUCUCCCUAACAGUUUUCAGCACCCUUAACAGACUA